This is a small nucleolar RNA of Puntigrus tetrazona (Sumatra barb), 134 nucleotides long. RefSeq annotates it as small nucleolar RNA SNORA17. The record is from RefSeq and is a predicted model, not a curated record. Lineage: Eukaryota; Metazoa; Chordata; Actinopteri; Cypriniformes; Cyprinidae. The transcript has a single exon.
CUUGCCCCUUGAAGGCGUUGCAGUGUGACUGAUUCUGUCAUUUCUGUGUCAUAAGGUGGCACAGAGUAGAAGGACUGUGUCUACACCUAGUACCCUUAACAAUGGAUGCUCAGUGUCAUUUACAGCCCUACAGA